CGCUAUGUAUCUCAAACGGAUAGAGAUAGUCAAGAUAGACGAAGGUGCGGGUUCGAGUCCCGUCAUAGCGA
RNAcentral lists this transfer RNA (71 nucleotides) under Caudoviricetes sp. RNAcentral's name for it is "tRNA-OTHER". It matches the Rfam family "tRNA". Rfam says of the family: Transfer RNA (tRNA) molecules are approximately 80 nucleotides in length. Their secondary structure includes four short double-helical elements and three loops (D, anti-codon, and T loops). The record is from RNAcentral. Lineage: Duplodnaviria; Heunggongvirae; Uroviricota; Caudoviricetes.